Molecule: ribosomal RNA, 253 nt
Filed under: uncultured bacterium
Lineage: Bacteria
Description: partial 16S ribosomal RNA
Rfam family: Bacterial small subunit ribosomal RNA
Source: RNAcentral
UACGUAGGGGGCAAGCGUUGUCCGGAUUUAUUGGGCGUAAAGAGCGUGUAGGCGGUUCGGUAGGUCCGUUGUGAAAACUCGAGGCUCAACCUCGAGACGCCGAUGGAAACCAUCGAACUAGAGUCCGGAAGAGGAGAGUGGAAUUCCUGGUGUAGCGGUGAAAUGCGCAGAUAUCAGGAGGAACACCGAUGGCGAAGGCAGCUGCCUGGCCUAGAACUGACGCUGAGGUGCGAAAGCGUGGGGAGCGAACGGG